AGCGUUGGGGAAACAUGCUCAACUUCCAGCAGUCAUUCCCGCUCGCCUCCUUUCUCUUUGCUCGAGGUCUUCGGUUCAGGCUCCACAACUGAUUGAUGCUGUUUUCCUGUUAGUGUCUCUUUUUCAUCAUGCACGAUCCUCCAUAGUGAUGGAAUGGAGACAGCUUCUCAGAGAAAGCACAGCUUUGGAAGGUAAGUGCCGUUUGGAUGGUGAGACCAUCAGAUCAAUUUAACUAGGCCAAGACUCUGAUCAAUGUUCUUAAACCUAUGUAACCCACUGCCACAGAGAUUUCAAAGUGAGGAAGGGUCCUGGACGCCCAUUCGUCCAUUCUCAAUGAAUUAUUCAUUUGACCAGCACUUUCUGACUUUCUAGCUUCAGCCAGACACCGUACAAGGGACAGGGGAGACUGAGAUGAAGAAAACUCGGUGCUUCUUCCCAAGGCACUCGCAGUCUCGGAGAAGACAGAUGUGUACUCACACAGAUGCAUAUGCUACAGCACUGUGUGAUGAUGCUAUACAUGCACAAAGUGACCAGGAACAGAGCGGCCAUCCCUGGCGACUCA
Molecule: long non-coding RNA, 562 nt
Filed under: Pan troglodytes (chimpanzee)
Lineage: Eukaryota; Metazoa; Chordata; Mammalia; Primates; Hominidae
Description: lincRNA
Source: RNAcentral